Triticum aestivum (bread wheat) is the source of this 117-nucleotide non-coding RNA. The record is from Rfam. NCBI's taxonomy places the organism in Eukaryota, Viridiplantae, Streptophyta, Magnoliopsida, Poales, Poaceae.
AGUCUACUCCCUCCGUUCGGAAUUACUUGUCGCAGAAAUGGAUGUAUCUAGACGUAUUUUAGUUCUAGAUAUAUCCAUUUUCGAGACAAGUAAUUCCGAACUAAGGGGUAGUAUAGU